AAUGAUCGAUCAUGAAUUAUAGGGUGAAUAUAUGGUCCCAAUCUUUCUUUUCGUUUCAACUAUCACCAUUUCUGCUGAAACUGCCAUGGGCCCCAUGUCUAAAUAGGCAGGCAGGAUUGUUAAGAAUGUGGGGUUGAGCCUAACUCAACCCUUCAAAACCGGCUUGCAGGGUGAGGAUUGUCCCAACUAAUAAAGACAUGUUCAGACAAUAUAUUGUCCGUUAUAGGAUUCUUAACAACGAUUAACCAUUCAAAA
RNAcentral lists this long non-coding RNA (255 nucleotides) under Lathyrus oleraceus (garden pea). RNAcentral describes it as "Pisum sativum (pea) long non-coding RNA (PSAT_LNC008556)". The record is from RNAcentral. Lineage: Eukaryota; Viridiplantae; Streptophyta; Magnoliopsida; Fabales; Fabaceae.